Long non-coding RNA from Halichondria panicea, 1317 nucleotides. RefSeq lists it as uncharacterized. Lineage: Eukaryota; Metazoa; Porifera; Demospongiae; Suberitida; Halichondriidae. The record is from RefSeq and is a predicted model, not a curated record. The transcript has 3 exons.
UGGGCAAUAACUAAUACAUGUAUAGUACCGACGCAGUUAUAAGGACAGUGUUACCCAAAUACACACUGGUUUCUUACAAAAGACGUCGGCUGCUUUGGCUAUAAGGCUACUGGAGAGGGAGAGAGUGCUGGGGGGGGAAAAGGAUAGCGAAAAGGUUGGUGUGGAUGGAAAGAUUAUCACUGAAUCUGAUGAGACCCCUAAGGUCAAUGGCUUUGGCUUUGUGGCUACUCCUCAGAUACACCCAGACUAGAGACUGACAUCCUCCCCACCUCUGCCCCUGCCUUCAAGAUCAUGGACGUCUCCAAGAGAGAUGCUGUUGGAUUGAGACUGGCUGAGAGCGCGGCCAAAGCUACCAAAGAGAGCAGCUUCUCUGGCAGCCAGUCCCGCUGUGCUGAGGAAGAAGCUCGGAGCCACACCCACUGUCACUCAUCGGCUACAGAUGCUCUCCCCGGCUGCUCGUAAACUAGCCUCUCGUACUACUAUGGUGUGUAAUCAGUGCCAAAAUAGGAAUGCAAAAAUUAGAAGCAGAAGUUCACAAAAUUAUGACCACAACCCACAGAACUGCAACCACAACUGACAAAACUGUAACCACAAACUGGGUGCAUCAAUGAAACUGGAUGCACGGGCAGUGAUAGCUGUGGGCUUGAAAUGGGAAAGUACAUAUAGGAAAAAGUACAUAGGAAAUGAUUGGAAUUGAUUCAGUUACAUGGAAUGGAGACUUCGGGCACAUCAGAGGAUGUAAGACACACUUAACCUUUGGUGACCUUUUAAAAGGAGGCUAUAAAAAGAAAAGAGAAGAUGGAUGUUUCAUGCAUCAUACAAUUAUGAAAGCACUGCGGGUGCUGAUGCCACGGUGGAGGUGCCAAAGUCUCCAUUCCAUGUAACUGAAUCAAUUCCAAUCAUUUCCUAUGUACUUUCCCAUUUCAAGCCCACAGCUAUCACUGCCCGUGCAUCCAGUUUCAUUGAUGCACCCAUUUUUUGAGUUGUGGUUACAGUUUUGUUAGUUGUGGUUGCAGUUCUGUGGGUUGUGGUCAUAAUUUUGUGAACUUCUGCUUCGCAUUCCUAUUUUGGCACUGAUUACACACCAUAUACUACGACCCCCAGCACUCACCACGCCCUCAGAGCAAGCUACACACCCACACACAAGAGCAGUGGGUCCACCCCCAGACUGACCACGCCCACUACGGUUGCGACCACACCCGUUGGCUCCACCCCCUCACUAACAGACAAUCUACUCAAACUGUCUAGCAGAUAAAAUAAUCAUGAUUUUUGCUAUUCUGCACAUUGCACUGUUAUUAAAUAUUUGUUACACCUGUA